ACUGCGACCGCCAAUACUGUGACAAACUUUUUGAGACCACUCCUGUGGAGUUAACUUCUUCAUGGCCUCAGGUGAAACAAGACAUGCAUGAGCAACUUUAGUAUCGUCAGAUGCUAACAAGUAAAUACUUUUAUCCUUCAAAUUUUUCUUAGCAUAAGUAAGGGCAAAACUUAAGGCUUUGGGAUUAGCAGAAAUAGGGACCUUAGCGACAACAAAUGACAU
This is a non-coding RNA of Schizosaccharomyces pombe (fission yeast), 222 nucleotides long. NCBI's taxonomy places the organism in Eukaryota, Fungi, Ascomycota, Schizosaccharomycetes, Schizosaccharomycetales, Schizosaccharomycetaceae. The record is from the annotation of a GenBank genome assembly.